Molecule: transfer RNA, 77 nt
Filed under: Lachnospiraceae bacterium
Lineage: Bacteria; Bacillati; Bacillota; Clostridia; Lachnospirales; Lachnospiraceae
Also listed under: 2 other names
Description: tRNA-Lys
Rfam family: tRNA
About the family: Transfer RNA (tRNA) molecules are approximately 80 nucleotides in length. Their secondary structure includes four short double-helical elements and three loops (D, anti-codon, and T loops). Further hydrogen bonds mediate the characteristic L-shaped molecular structure. tRNAs have two regions of fundamental functional importance: the anti-codon, which is responsible for specific mRNA codon recognition, and the 3' end, to which the tRNAs corresponding amino acid is attached (by aminoacyl-tRNA synthetases). tRNAs cope with the degeneracy of the genetic code in two manners: having more than one tRNA (with a specific anti-codon) for a particular amino acid; and 'wobble' base-pairing, i.e. permitting non-standard base-pairing at the 3rd anti-codon position.
Source: RNAcentral
GCGAUCGUAGCCAAGUGGUAUGGCAUCAAACUUUUAAUUUGAGUAUCGUUAGGGUUCGAUUCCCACCGAUCGCACCA